Long non-coding RNA from Dermacentor albipictus, 581 nucleotides. RefSeq lists it as uncharacterized. Lineage: Eukaryota; Metazoa; Arthropoda; Arachnida; Ixodida; Ixodidae. The record is from RefSeq and is a predicted model, not a curated record.
CAUUAGACACGUCGAACACGAAGCGGACGCAACGCGGACGGGCUUUGCGGCUGCCGACAGCCGUUUGUUUCUGGCGAACACAGGCACGCUAACAUUACGCCUGGUUGCUGCGCCUUCGCGUGUAGCAACCAAACGGAGUCCGGAAAGGCAUUUUUCUGCAUUCCGUGCGGGAAGGACGACUGGGAUCGACGUUCUGCGUGGCUGCACAGAAUUGGCCGCAAAAGCUUCGCGCCCUCGAACACCCGCUUGUGCGAGCAAACGUUGACCAACCAGCUUGCCACCAGCCGACAGCUGAUAAGCCGGAAGGUUCAGGUGACAUUGUACAAGGAACUGGGAGCCAAGGAACACCUGACGAAGACCCUCAUGUCCCCUUGUCAAACCACUGAUUCUAGGCUGAGACUUUCCUUGUUUGCCCACAAUUAACUCUGUAGCAAUGUUAAAGUAAGCACAGCCGUCGGGCUACAUUGUUGUUUUUACAGUUGAAUGCCUGCUCUUGUGUGAAAACUAGGUAUUGCAAUAAAUACUUUCUUCAAUGAUGUAUGUUACUGUUGUGAAAUAAAUAUCUGCCGUUUGCCUCCACA